GACGAACGCUGGCGGCGUGCUUAACACAUGCAAGUCGAACGGUAAGGCCCUUCGGGGUACACGAGUGGCGAAUGGGUGAGUAACACGUGGGUGAUCUGCCCUGCACUCCGGGAUAAGCCUGGGAAACUGGGUCUAAUACCGGAUAGGACCACUGCCUGCAUGGGUGGUGGUGGAAAGCUUUUGCGGUGUGGGAUGGGCCCGCGGCCUAUCAGCUUGUUGGUGGGGUGAUGGCCUACCAAGGCGACGACGGGUAGCCGGCCUGAGAGGGUGACCGGCCACACUGGGACUGAGAUACGGCCCAGACUCCUACGGGAGGCAGCAGUGGGGAAUAUUGCACAAUGGGCGCAAGCCUGAUUCAGCGACGCCGCGUGAGGGAUGACGGCCUUCGGGUUGUAAACCUCUUUCAGCACCGACGAAGCGCAAGUGACGGUAGGUGCAGAAGAAGGACCGGCCAACUACGUGCCAGCCGCCGCCGUAA
This 478-nucleotide ribosomal RNA is filed under the name uncultured bacterium. RNAcentral describes it as "partial 16S ribosomal RNA". It matches the Rfam family "Bacterial small subunit ribosomal RNA", at positions 28 to 523 of the family's 1533-position model. The record is from RNAcentral.